Molecule: unclassified non-coding RNA, 260 nt
Filed under: soil metagenome
Description: partial contains small subunit ribosomal RNA, internal transcribed spacer 1, and 5.8S ribosomal RNA
Source: RNAcentral
UUUCCGUAGGUGAACCUGCGGAAGGAUCAUUGCCGAACGGACGCCCGGGUUCCCGAAAGGGAAGACCGGGUGUCUUUUUCGACCAACCCAUGUGAACUCGUUUAAUGUGUUUAACAGUGAUGGCGGUGAGUGGGUGGUGGACAACACCCCCCCAACCAACCACCGACCCUAUCUGUCCAAACAUUUUUAACAAACAUGGUGUAAUGAACGUCAUAUAUCAUAACAAAACAAAACUUUCAACAACGGAUCUCUUGGUUCUG